UCCCACUCCCUCCCUCCCUCCCUCGCUCCCCGGGCCGCGCGCGACGCGUCGCGAUCAGUCUAGCGACACCUCGGAUGUCAAUCCGACCGUCUCCUCUCGCCUGUCAGUCCGUCAAAGAUCGGGACGCCUGCGUGCCAAAGGGCCCACCGUGUGUUCCCCGCGUCCUCCUACGAUCUCGAUUGUCUCUCGCCGUGUAUCUCUGUCUCGCGCACGUUUCCUCUCUCUCUCGCUCGCUCGCCGCGGAGACGGGAGGACGCACAGACGGAAGAAGGCUCCUGCCGCUGCUGCUGCUGCUGAUGAUGCUGAUGGUGCUGCUGCCGCAACUGGUGUUGAUAAUGCAGGGAGCAGCGGUGCCGCGCCGCGCUACGAACCCGGCGACCCAAGUUCGAUUCCCGCUCACGGCCAACUCCAGUGACGAUUAUCUGACAACCACCUACGACCGCCUUUGUCUUCCCAGAUGUAUUGACAGAUGCAUUGACAGGCGACGCCAGCUGCUUCAACUUGCGUGCAAGGGCGAGUCGAGCUUCGGGGAGAAACGGCACGGGAUCAGACGCCACGUGGACUCGUGUUCCGUUCCGAACGAUGAUGUGAAUCCGAGUCGGAAAACGAAACAUAUCCGUGUAGAUAGAAUUGACGUGAGUUGGAGGAGACGCUGUGACUGAGUGAAAUGCCGGUGGCCACGAGAUGCUGCGAGCGAACGAACGAGCGAACAGGAGACGCCUCCUCCUCCUCUUGUCCACGUGCGGGGAGACCCGCAUCAGCCGACAACACCCGCGACGGACCGGUGGCCGCCACAUCCAAGGACCAUUCAGCUUCGACCGCAGCUUUCGCUUCCGAGAUCUGCCGCUGUCGAGAACCAUUCCGAGUUGAGCUGAUCACGGGGCUCUGGAGAAGACUGCGCGGGGCCGUGGGUUUGCGUCAGCGAUGGGAGCCUUUUGACGUGCUGUGAAGAAGGUCCAUCGUCCGAAACGUCGCCUGCGAUAUAUUUGCUCUCCCUUUUGUAAGGCCACGUUGUUGUUGUUUUUGUUUUUGACGAACGUGUUUAUUUAGCACGCUUUUAUUUAUUUAUUGUUUUGUGCAUCACCGCCAUCGCGGCAGCGUCGCCAAAUCAUUCGUUUGACUUCCCAACAGCUGUGUAAUGUCACGAUGCAUAAUCGAUUCAUCAAUUAAACCGAUUAUCAUCAAGGCUGUCGAAUCGCGCGCGCGUGACUCUUCGGCGCGUAUAGCGCGUGCACGCGUCAAGCUGACUGACGGAUGAUGCGAUUCUGCCGGUGAGGAAACUAAACACCGCCCAGGGGGCAAAACAAUAUACAAAAUGAGACGAGGAACAACAACAAACAAACACCCCCCACCCUCCCCCAAUAACACGGAUCCGCCUCGCGCCACAAGUCAUCAAUGCUGGGGUCACGCAGUAGGGACGCGAACGCACUUUAUCGCGUCUUGUGCCCGGUGACAAUACAGUUAAACAAAUCCUGCUGGUGACGAUCGCUUGUGUUGUGAUCGAAACGUCGUAGUUUGUGGGUAUUUUUUACGUGACUUUACCGAAAGACCCAAAGAAUAUCUUGAUUUGGAGCUUUCGUGACUGCAGGAAUCCAUCGAAUAAUUAUACAAAUCUCAUCGCAUGCGCGCACACACACAACUAUCGGAUUAUAAACACACCCCCUAAACCUUUGCUUGAAGGUACGGGGAGGGGGGGGGGUCUUAUAGUCCGGGAUGAUGCGAAAUGAAAUAUGAUUUCGAUUUAAAGCUUUCGUGACUGCAGGAAUUCAUCUUCUUGGUUCUUUCGGUAAAGUCACGUAGAAUGGAAAUAAUAAAAUAAUAAAAAAUAAAACAUAAUAAAAUAAUUCUCACGACGUUUCGGCCACAACGCAAGCAGCCGUCCUCAGGUGAAGAACAUGUCUGUCUCCCAACAGACUUAUUUAUUAUGUUUUAUUUUUAUCAUUUUAUUAUUUCCAUUCUACGUGACUUUACCGAAAGAUCCAAGAAGAUGAAAUAUAAUCAUUAUUAUUACAAUAAUAUAACUGACAGCCCGUUGCCAAACCGCUAUUGAAAUUUGACAACAACAAAAAAAUCCAACGAUGACCGUUGGGAAAUUGUCAAAUCUGAUCUCCACGAAGCGUGACCCGGAGGUGGAAUGGUUCCCUUCAUGGGCGGGGGUCAACGUGGAGGUCUCCCACUGCCUUUGGCCGCGUGCUCAAUGCGUAGCCAAGUAGCCAGUGCACACACGUCAACGUUGGGCGCACGUUGGCACGCGGUUAGGAACCCGUCGAUCUAACGUUGGCUCGACGUUUGCCCCACGUUGGCCCAAAGUUUCCACGUGUUACGAGCUAAUUCUUGCCGCCGUAGAGUGUGACGCUAAAGCUGAUAGAGAGCAAGUCUAAGCCCGCUGAAGGGAUCAGUUGUAUGUGUAAUGUUCUGUGUCUAUGUAUAUAUAUAUAUAUAUGCGUGUUUGUGUCCAAUAGUGGUCGUUAGGCCUAUUAAAUGGGCGUGUGUAUAUAGGGCGCAUCGCUAAAACGGGCUUAUGGUCGAGACUGGCGACGGAAUGGCAGCCGGAGGAGGGAGCGAACGCGUUCGAGAGGACGAGAGGAUGCGCGGAGAUGGCGUGGCGGAUGAGAUGGACUCGCGUGUGCG
This is a long non-coding RNA of Lethenteron reissneri (Far Eastern brook lamprey), 2631 nucleotides long. RefSeq lists it as uncharacterized. The record is from RefSeq and is a predicted model, not a curated record. Lineage: Eukaryota; Metazoa; Chordata; Hyperoartia; Petromyzontiformes; Petromyzontidae.